Molecule: ribosomal RNA, 501 nt
Filed under: salal root associated fungus UBCtra1482.11
Lineage: Eukaryota; Fungi; Ascomycota
Description: eukaryotic LSU rRNA
Rfam family: Eukaryotic large subunit ribosomal RNA
Source: RNAcentral
UGAAUCUGGUGUCUUUGACUCCCGAGUUGUAAUCUAGAGAAGUGUUUUCCGUGUCGGACCGUGCACAAGUUCCCUGGAACGGGGCGUCAUAGAGGGUGAGAAUCCCGUAUAUGGCAUGGACUACCGAUGCUUUUGUGAUACACUCUCAACGAGUCGAGUUGUUUGGGAAUGCAGCUCAAAAUGGGUGGUAAAUUCCAUCUAAAGCUAAAUAUUGGCGAGAGACCGAUAGCGAACAAGUACCGUGAGGGAAAGAUGAAAAGCACUUUGGAAAGAGAGUGAAACAGUACGUGAAAUUGUUGGAAGGGAAGCGUUUGAAGUCAGUCGUAUCUGGUGGGAUUCAGCCGGGCUUUUGCCAGGUGUACUUCUCGUCCGAUGGGUCAGCAUCAAUUUCGACCGGGGGAAAAAGGCUUGGGGAAUGUGGCUGUCUUCGGGCAGUGUUAUAGCCCCUUGUUGUAUGCCUCGGUGGGGAUUGAGGAACGCAGCGCGCCUCAUGGCCAGGGG